Molecule: small RNA, 27 nt
Filed under: Bombyx mori (domestic silkworm)
Lineage: Eukaryota; Metazoa; Arthropoda; Insecta; Lepidoptera; Bombycidae
Description: ovarian small RNA-11228
Source: RNAcentral
ACCAGAGCAGCCGUAAGGCGGGACAGA